This 74-nucleotide transfer RNA is filed under the name Mycobacterium colombiense. RNAcentral describes it as "tRNA-Gln". It matches the Rfam family "tRNA". From Rfam's summary of the family: Transfer RNA (tRNA) molecules are approximately 80 nucleotides in length. Their secondary structure includes four short double-helical elements and three loops (D, anti-codon, and T loops). Further hydrogen bonds mediate the characteristic L-shaped molecular structure. tRNAs have two regions of fundamental functional importance: the anti-codon, which is responsible for specific mRNA codon recognition, and the 3' end, to which the tRNAs corresponding amino acid is attached (by aminoacyl-tRNA synthetases). tRNAs cope with the degeneracy of the genetic code in two manners: having more than one tRNA (with a specific anti-codon) for a particular amino acid; and 'wobble' base-pairing, i.e. permitting non-standard base-pairing at the 3rd anti-codon position. The record is from RNAcentral. Lineage: Bacteria; Bacillati; Actinomycetota; Actinomycetes; Mycobacteriales; Mycobacteriaceae.
UCCGGUGUCGUCUAACGGCAGGACGUCGGGCUCUGGACCCGAAGGUUGGGGUUCGAAUCCUUGCACCGGAGCCA